Molecule: small RNA, 36 nt
Filed under: Arabidopsis thaliana (thale cress)
Lineage: Eukaryota; Viridiplantae; Streptophyta; Magnoliopsida; Brassicales; Brassicaceae
Description: ATSL257330
Source: RNAcentral
UUUUUUUCUUCUUCUUCGUUUAGUUAUGCGUGUGUG